Molecule: long non-coding RNA, 806 nt
Organism: Drosophila navojoa
Lineage: Eukaryota; Metazoa; Arthropoda; Insecta; Diptera; Drosophilidae
Source: RefSeq, a predicted model, not a curated record
AUAUAUGUAUGUAUGUAUAUAAAGAUACACUUUAUCUAUACCCACUUUAUCGUAAGCAAUGUGGAAUGAAGCAACGGCGAAUGCGAAUUGAAAGGGAAUGGGAACGGGAAUAGGCUGGGAAUGGCAAUGAGAAUGUUCUCAUUGAGAAUCGGUUUCCGAAAAUGUUGGCUCCUGCAAUUUUCACAGCAACUGCAACUGCAACAGCGAAUGGCAAAAAUAAUAACAAUUUCAGUUCGUUUUUUUAGUGUCUUUUUUUUUUGCUCUGCUGUCAGUUGGAGCAACUGGAACUGGACAGCCCAGCUUGGACUUGAGGCAUUGUAUUUUGUUGUCCAUUUCAACGCUUGAAAUUCUUGUGGCUGCUGCUGUUGGCGUUGCCUCCUGUUUCUGCUGUUGCUGUAGCUGCAGCAGUUAAUUUAAUUUCAGCUCAUAAAUCAAAACUGUGCCGCGCAAAAUGUUUGCUUUUGACGCGGCGUUUUUGUCGCCUGGUCGAGACAAUUUUUCAGUCGGAGCAAUUUUUGGUUUUUUAUUUCUUAUAUUUUUUGGGUGGCAGGGGUUGUUGGAGGCACGCAGGCAGCCGGAACUGAAUACUGAACACUGAAACUGGGGCUGCGACUGCUAAGUUAGUCAACUUUACAGCCGGUUGACGUUUGACAAACAAUGGCAAAGACAACAGCAGCAGCAGCAACAACAACAACUCUAGCAGCAGCAGCAACAGCUUAACUUGGUCAGCUGGCAAACACAAAUUGCAAGCAGCUGCAAUUCUUAAGCAAAGAGGAAAACGUGAGUGUGAGAGUGACAGAGAGAGG